Molecule: long non-coding RNA, 434 nt
Filed under: Numida meleagris (helmeted guineafowl)
Lineage: Eukaryota; Metazoa; Chordata; Aves; Galliformes; Numididae
Description: lncRNA (ENSNMEG00000007117.1)
Source: RNAcentral
AUGUGGGAAUGGGUUUCACUGUUCAUGAAUCGAAAGGAACUGGAUGCACAUUCAGUAUUUCCAGCUUUUAUUGAGAUUGUAUGUGAGUUGAGUAUCAUUAGACCCUGGUUGAGACUGCUGAUUUUGUCCACAAGAUCAUACAGACCUUGUGCUGCCUACAUUAAAAAAACGGAUGGUGACAUGCAACCUAACGAGGCUGCAGCUCUCUUCAGGCAGUGGAUUGUGUGGUGUUUGUUGAUGCUGAGUAGAAGUGUAAAGAUCAGAGUAGCACAGCAGCACUCCAGCAGUGAGAUUUUGAGCCAAGCCAACAUCUUUCAUAUCACUAAAGACCAGACCAGAUGGUGUUGCCCUGCUGGUUGGGAGAGUGGUGACUUGGUGCUACAUUGCUGUUAGUGGACUUUGACCUCCCAGGCGUACAAGUUUUGUGUUACUCG